RNAcentral lists this ribosomal RNA (698 nucleotides) under uncultured bacterium. RNAcentral's name for it is "bacterial SSU rRNA". It matches the Rfam family "Bacterial small subunit ribosomal RNA", at positions 122 to 834 of the family's 1533-position model. The record is from RNAcentral.
GAACUUGCCUCUUGGACUGGGACAACUGUUGGUUUCGACAGCUAAUACCGGAUAUUAUGAGAUUCUCGCAUGGGAAACUUAUGAAAGCUAUAUGCGCCAAGAGAGAGCCUUGCGUUCCAUUAGCUAGUUGGUGGGGUAAUGGCCCACCAAGGCGACGAUGGAUAGCCGGCCUGAGAGGGUGAACGGCCACAAGGGGACUGAGACACGGCCCUUACUCCUACGGGAGGCAGCAGUGGGGAAUAUUGGACAAUGGGCCACAAGCCUGAUCCAGCAAUUCCGUGUGCACGAUGAAGGUCUUCGGAUCGUAAAGUGCUUUCAGUUGGGAAGAAGAAAGUGACGGUACCAACAGAAGAAGCGACGGCUAAAUACGUGCCAGCAGCCGCGGUAAUACGUAUGUCGCAAGCGUUAUCCGGAUUUAUUGGGCGUAAAGCGCGUCUAGGCGGAAAAAUAAGUCUGAUGUUAAAAUGCGGGGCUCAACUCCGUAUUGCGUUGGAAACUGUUUUUCUAGAGUACUGGAGAGGUGGGCGGAACUACAAGUGUAGAGGUGAAAUUCGUAGAUAUUUGUAGGAAUGCCGAUGGAGAAGUCAGCUCACUGGACAGAUACUGACGCUAAAGCGCGAAAGCGUGGGGAGCAAACAGGAUUAGAUACCCUGGUAGUCCACGCCGUAAACGAUGAUCACUAGGUGUUGGGGGUCGAA